GAUGAACGCUGGCGGCGUGCCUAAUACAUGCAAGUCGAGCGAACAGACGCGGAGCUUGCUCCACUGACGUUAGCGGCGGACGGGUGAGUAACACGUGGAUAACCUACCUAUAAGACUGGGAUAACUUCGGGAAACCGGAGCUAAUACCGGAUAAUAUAUUGAACCGCAUGGUUCAAUAGUGAAAGACGGUUUUGCUGUCACUUAUAGAUGGAUCCGCGCCGCAUUAGCUAGUUGGUAAGGUAACGGCUUACCAAGGCAACGAUGCGUAGCCGACCUGAGAGGGUGAUCGGCCACACUGGAACUGAGACACGGUCCAUAGUCCUACGGGAGGCAGCAGUAGGGAAUGUGCCGCAAUGGGCGAAAGCCUGACGGAGCAACGCCGCGUGAGUUAUGAAGGUCUUCGGAUCGUAAAACUCUGUUAUUAGGGAAGAACAAAUGUGUAAGUAACUAUGCACGUCUUGACGGUACCUAAUCAGAAAGCCACGGCUAACUACGUG
RNAcentral lists this ribosomal RNA (497 nucleotides) under uncultured bacterium. RNAcentral describes it as "partial 16S ribosomal RNA". It matches the Rfam family "Bacterial small subunit ribosomal RNA", at positions 28 to 507 of the family's 1533-position model. The record is from RNAcentral.